AGCAGCCGCGGUAAUUCCAGCUCCAAUAGCGUAUAUUAAAGUUGUUGCAGUUAAAAAGCUCGUAGUUGAAUUUCGGGGUUAGUAGGUUGGUCAUGCCUCUGGUAUGUACUGGUCUCACUGAUUCCUCCUUCCUUAUGAACCGUAAUGCCAUUAAUUUGGUGUUGCGGGGAAUUUGGACUGUUACUUUGAAAAAUUAGAGUGUUUAAAGCAAGCUAACGCCUGAAUACAUUAGCAUGGAAUAAUGAAAUAGGACGUUCGAUCUUAUUUUGUUGGUUUCUAGGAUUGACGUAAUGAUUAAUAGGGAUAGUUGGGGGCAUUAGUAUUCAAUUGUCAGAGGUGAAAUUCUUGGAUUUAUUGAAGACUAACUACUGCGAAAGCAUUUGCCAAGGAUGUUUUCAUUAAUCAAGAACGAAAGUUAGGGGAUCGAAGACGAUCAGAUACCGCCGUAGU
This 450-nucleotide ribosomal RNA is filed under the name uncultured Glomus. Its description in RNAcentral is "SSU rRNA". It matches the Rfam family "Eukaryotic small subunit ribosomal RNA", at positions 569 to 1024 of the family's 1831-position model. The record is from RNAcentral. Lineage: Eukaryota; Fungi; Glomeromycota; Glomeromycetes; Glomerales; Glomeraceae.